Molecule: ribosomal RNA, 250 nt
Filed under: uncultured bacterium
Lineage: Bacteria
Description: partial 16S ribosomal RNA
Rfam family: Bacterial small subunit ribosomal RNA
Source: RNAcentral
UACGUAGGGUGCGAGCGUUGUCCGGAAUUAUUGGGCGUAAAGGGCUCGUAGGCGGCUUGUCGCGUCUGCUGUGAAAGCCCGGGGCUUAACUCCGGGUCUGCAGUGGAUACGGGCAGGCUAGAGUCCGGCAGGGGAGACUGGAAUUCCUGGUGUAGCGGUGGAAUGCGCAGAUAUCAGGAGGAACACCGGUGGCGAAGGCGGGUCUCUGGGCCGGUACUGACGCUGAGGAGCGAAAGCGUGGGGAGCGAAC